This 756-nucleotide ribosomal RNA is filed under the name Salmonella enterica. RNAcentral describes it as "partial 23S ribosomal RNA". It matches the Rfam family "Bacterial large subunit ribosomal RNA", at positions 711 to 1469 of the family's 2925-position model. The record is from RNAcentral. Lineage: Bacteria; Pseudomonadati; Pseudomonadota; Gammaproteobacteria; Enterobacterales; Enterobacteriaceae. RNAcentral also lists the same sequence under 2 other names.
AGACCCGAAACCCGGUGAUCUAGCCAUGGGCAGGUUGAAGGUUGGGUAACACUAACUGGAGGACCGAACCGACUAAUGUUGAAAAAUUAGCGGAUGACCUGUGGCUGGGGGUGAAAGGCCAAUCAAACCGGGAGAUAGCUGGUUCUCCCCGAAAGCUAUUUAGGUAGCGCCUCGUGAAUUCAUCUCCGGGGGUAGAGCACUGUUUCGGCUAGGGGGCCAUCCCGGCUUACCAACCCGAUGCAAACUGCGAAUACCGGAGAAUGUUAUCACGGGAGACACACGGCGGGUGCUAACGUCCGUCGUGAAGAGGGAAACAACCCAGACCGCCAGCUAAGGUCCCAAAGUCAUGGUUAAGUGGGAAACGAUGUGGGAAGGCCCAGACAGCCAGGAUGUUGGCUUAGAAGCAGCCAUCAUUUAAAGAAAGCGUAAUAGCUCACUGGUCGAGUCGGCCUGCGCGGAAGAUGUAACGGGGCUAAACCAUGCACCGAAGCUGCGGCAGCGACACUGUGUGUUGUUGGGUAGGGGAGCGUUCUGUAAGCCUGUGAAGGUGUGUCGUGAGGCAUGCUGGAGGUAUCAGAAGUGCGAAUGCUGACAUAAGUAACGAUAAAGCGGGUGAAAAGCCCGCUCGCCGGAAGACCAAGGGUUCCUGUCCAACGUUAAUCGGGGCAGGGUGAGUCGACCCCUAAGGCGAGGCCGAAAGGCGUAGUCGAUGGGAAACGGGUUAAUAUUCCCGUACUUGGUGUUACUGCGAAGGGG